UACGUAGGGGGCGAGCGUUUGUCCGGAGUUACUGGGCGUAAAGCGCACGCAGGCGGUCUGCUAAGUUUGGAGUGACAGUUGGUGGCUUAACUGCCAAAGUGCUUCGAAAACUGACAGACUUGAGGGCUUCAGAGGGACACGGAAUUCCGGGUGGAGUGGUGAAAUGCGUAGAGAUCCGGAGGAACACCAAAGGCGAAGGCAGUGUCCUGGGGAGUACCUGACGCUCAGGUGCGAAAGCCAGGGGAGCGAACGGG
RNAcentral lists this ribosomal RNA (254 nucleotides) under uncultured bacterium. RNAcentral's name for it is "partial 16S ribosomal RNA". It matches the Rfam family "Bacterial small subunit ribosomal RNA", at positions 524 to 776 of the family's 1533-position model. The record is from RNAcentral.